AUACGUAGGUGGCGAGCGUUGUCCGGAAUUACUGGGUGUAAAGGGAGCGCAGGCGGGAAUGCAAGUUGGAUGUGAAAUACCGAGGCUUAACCGCGGGGGUGCAUCCAAAACUGUAUUUCUUGAGUGAAGUAGAGGUAGGCGGAAUUCCGAGUGUAGCGGUGGAAUGCGUAGAUAUUCGGAGGAACACCAGUGGCGAAGGCGGCCUACUGGGCUUUAACUGACGCUGAGGCUCGAAAGUGUGGGGAGCAAACAGGAUUAGAUACCCUGGUAGUCCACACUGUAAACGAUGAUUACUAGGUGUGGGGGGUCUGACCCCUUCUGUGCCGUAGUUAACGCAAUAAGUAAUCCACCUGGGGAGUACGAUCGCAAGGUUGAAACUCAAAUGAAUUGACGGGG
RNAcentral lists this ribosomal RNA (396 nucleotides) under uncultured bacterium. RNAcentral's name for it is "partial 16S ribosomal RNA". It matches the Rfam family "Bacterial small subunit ribosomal RNA", at positions 523 to 918 of the family's 1533-position model. The record is from RNAcentral.